This 497-nucleotide ribosomal RNA is filed under the name uncultured bacterium. RNAcentral describes it as "partial 16S ribosomal RNA". It matches the Rfam family "Bacterial small subunit ribosomal RNA", at positions 28 to 507 of the family's 1533-position model. The record is from RNAcentral.
GAUGAACGCUGGCGGCGUGCCUAAUACAUGCAAGUCGAGCGAACGGACGAGAAGCUUGCUUCUCUGAUGUUAGCGGCGGACGGGUGAGUAACACGUGGAUAACCUACCUAUAAGACUGGGAUAACUUCGGGAAACCGUAGCUAAUACCGGAUAAUAUUUUGAACCGCAUGGUUCAAAAGUGAAAGACGGUCUUGCUGUCACUUAUAGAUGGAUCCGCGCUGCAUUAGCUAGUUGGUAAGGUAACGGCUUACCAAGGCAACGAUGCAUAGCCGACCUGAGAGGGUGAUCGGCCCCUCUGGACCUGAGACACGGUCCAGACUCCUACGGGAGGCAGCAGUAGGGAAUCUUCCGCAAUGGGCGAAAGCCUGACGGAGCAACGCCGCGUGAGUGAUGAAGGUCUUCGGAUCGUAAAACUCUGUUAUUAGGGAAGAACAUAUGUGUAAGUAACUGUGCACAUCUUGACGGUACCUAAUCAGAAAGCCACGGCUAACUACGUG